AAUAGAUACCCGGGUAGUCCACGCCGUAAACGGUGGGCACUAGAUGUGGGGCUCUUUCCAUGAGUUCCGCGUCGCAGCUAACGCAUUAAGUGCCCCGCCUGGGGAGUACGGCCGCAAGGCUAAAACUCAAAGGAAUUGACGGGGGCCCGCACAAGCGGCGGAGCAUGCGGAUUAAUUCGAUGCAACGCGAAGAACCUUACCAAGGCUUGACAUAUGCGGUCUAUCCCUAGAGAUAGGGAGUGCUUCGGCGCCGUAUACAGGUGGUGCAUGGUUGUCGUCAGCUCGUGUCGUGAGAUGUUGGGUUAAGUCCCGCAACGAGCGCAACCCUCGUUCUAUGUUGCCAGCACGUAAUGGUGGGGACUCAUAGGAGACUGCCGGGGUCAACUCGGAGGAAGGUGGGGAUGACGUCAAAUCAUCAUGCCCCUUAUGUCUUGGGCUUCACGCAUGCUACAAUGGCCGGUACAAAGGGCUGCAAUACCGCAAGGUGGAGCGAAUCCCAAAAAGCCGGUCUCAGUUCGGAUUG
This 523-nucleotide ribosomal RNA is filed under the name uncultured bacterium. RNAcentral's name for it is "bacterial SSU rRNA". It matches the Rfam family "Bacterial small subunit ribosomal RNA", at positions 777 to 1300 of the family's 1533-position model. The record is from RNAcentral.